CAGAAGCGGCUACAGUGGCUGCUGUUGGCAGAUGGCUGCUAUAGUCAGGGGACCACUGUGGUCAAGUGGCUGCUGUUGGCAAAUGGCUGCUAUAGUCAGGUGACGACUGUGGUCGAGUGGCUGCUGUUGGCAGAUGGCUGCUAUAGUCAGGUGACCACUGUGGUCAAGUGGCUGCUGUUGGCAGAUGGCUGCUAUAGUCAGGUGACCACUGUGGUCGAGUGGCUGCUGUUGGCAGAUGGCUGCUAUAGUCAGGUGACCACUGUGGUCAAGUGGCUGCUGUUGGCAAAUGGCUGCUAUAGUCAGGUGACCACUGUGGUCGAGUGGCUGCUGUUGGCAGAUGGCUGCUAUAGUCAGGUGACCUCUGUGGUCAAGUGGCUGUUGUUGGCAGAUGGCUGCUAUAGUCAGGUGACCUCUGUGGUUUAGUGGCUGCUGUUGGCAGAUGGCUGCUAUAGUCAGGUGACCACUUUUGUCAGUUAAUAUUAUCCCUGUCCUUGAACACUAAAAGCUUAUAAAACCAUCUUUGUACACAAACAGCACAAACACGUCGUUUUUAUUCAAACAACCACGAGCUUAGCAUAACUAAAAUAAAACUUUUAACAAGAGGUGCUUUUGUUAAGAGUUCAUUGUUUAUCUGUCAUUUAUUAAUUGGAUUGCAUGUCAAAUUGAUUUGUAUGCUUGAGAGCUUAGCUAAAGAGUGAUCUGAAAAAUUAUUUUCAAAUCAAUAUUUAAUAAUGUAAUUACUACCUUGAUGUUUUCCACUUGUAUGCCAUUGUCUCUGGGUGAGAAAAUCUGCGGCCAGUCCGGGACUUGAACCCGGGACACCUUGAUAACAGGGUGAGUGUUCUCCCAACUGAGCUAACCGGGCUGCCACACAUUUUCUUCCCUAAUGUGACCAAGUUCAGACCGUGACACAAUCAUUGAAUUAGUGAUUAUAAUUUAAAACAUUCUCUGAUGUAAUUUAUUUUGAAGAUUUCCUGUAAUUAUCCCAGUAGAACAAACCUUGUACUUUUUUCUCACAGUUUGACACAUUUAUUAUAUCAAAAGCAGUUACCACAAUCAUUUCUUUCACUGCGCAAUAGACACACAAUCAAUGCUAUGACGUUGCAGGUGUGAGAACGCUACGCCCAGAGAUUUGAUCAUUACUUUUGCACCGCAAAAUGACUGCCUCUUGACAACUGAACUCAAUUGAUAAAAGUCUUUCGACUUGAAAUAUACUUGUUGAUGGGUUGUAAUGGCAGGUUGAGAGUUAAUCCUUGUGUAAUAAUGACUUUGUUAGGAAGAAUCUAGAAAGACAGCUUGACCUGAGUGACCCCUUAACUCAGGGGACAAAUAAAUCACGUUGGACUCUAUUUUAUCGUUUGGUUAUUGAUAUAUUUUAUCGUUUGGUUAUUGAUAUUCUUACUUUGACACUGCUACCUUUAAGUACUGAUUGAUGUGUUUAAAAAAAAUUGUCACAUGUUUACAUUUCCAACCCACAUGUAAAUGUUCACAUCUGCAUGAUUGUCAUAUU
Molecule: long non-coding RNA, 1510 nt
Organism: Dreissena polymorpha
Lineage: Eukaryota; Metazoa; Mollusca; Bivalvia; Myida; Dreissenidae
Exons: 3
Source: RefSeq, a predicted model, not a curated record